Long non-coding RNA from Bufo bufo (common toad), 149 nucleotides. RefSeq lists it as uncharacterized. The transcript is spliced from 6 exons. The record is from RefSeq and is a predicted model, not a curated record. Lineage: Eukaryota; Metazoa; Chordata; Amphibia; Anura; Bufonidae.
UUUUUUACGCCUGGUCUAGGUGUAGAAAAAUGGUCAAAAUGAAGACAGAAAGGAAGCAGUCUUACAUUUAGAAUUGGAAGUGGAUACGCCGAAAUUAUGCAAAGGCCGGCGCCUCCACAUAACUUCGGCAAUCCACCGCCGGCGCAGGG